Molecule: long non-coding RNA, 615 nt
Filed under: Gossypium barbadense (sea-island cotton)
Lineage: Eukaryota; Viridiplantae; Streptophyta; Magnoliopsida; Malvales; Malvaceae
Description: long non-coding RNA (GBAR_LNC020479)
Source: RNAcentral
UGAAAAAGUGGUUGAUAAAGGUGAAGGAGGAAGUGAAGCACUAGACGUCGAUGGGGGAGGAGGUUGGGUGUUAGAUGUUGAUGGGGGCGGUGGAGAUGGAGGAGGUGGGGCACUAGUCGUCAAAGUGGUUGGUGAAGGAGGAGGUGGGGUGCUAGAUAUUGAUGGGGGUGGUGGAGAUGGAGGAGGUGGAGGGAGUAGGGCACUAGUCAUCAAAGUAUUUGGUGAAGGUGAAGGAGGAAUUGAAGCACUAGACAUCGAUGAGGGAGGAGGUGGGGUGCUAGAUAUUGAUGGGGGUGGUGGAGAUGGAGGAGGUGGGGUACUAGUCAUCGAAGUGGUUGGUGAAGGAGGAGGUGGGGUGCUAGAUAUUGACGAGGGUGGUGGAGAUGGAGGAGGUAGGGCACUAGUUGUCAAAGUGGUUGGUGAAGGAGAACGAGGAAUUGAAGCACUAGACAUCGAUGAGGGAAGAGGUUGGAUGCUAGAUAUUGAUAGGGGUGAUGGAGACAAAAGAGGUGGGGCACUAGUUGUUGCAGAGGGUGGUGAAGAUGGAGGAGGAAGUGGGGCAGUAGACAUCAAUGUGGGAGGUGGAGAUGGUAGUGAAGGUGAAGGAGGUGGGGC